Molecule: unclassified non-coding RNA, 204 nt
Filed under: Athalia rosae (coleseed sawfly)
Lineage: Eukaryota; Metazoa; Arthropoda; Insecta; Hymenoptera; Athaliidae
Description: misc RNA ENSAEAG00005007553.1
Source: RNAcentral
CUCGAAACAUUUUCCAAAAGGUUGUACAAAAAACAAUUUCAUGUCUGACUUGCUCGGAGCUCCACAGGUUACCUGCAUCUCGAAGGCCUCCAUACAGCUCUGUGCAACAUGGUACAACUAUUCAUCGGCUCGGGCAAACGUAGGAAAUUUUAUUCUACGCUCAGAAUGUACAGAUCAAAGAGCACUCGAACCAGAUGCUGCCGG